AAAUACACAUAAUAACAAUAAGAAAAUAAAAGAGAAAAUGAGAGGAAGGACCAUCUCCGUCCUUGUCAAAUAGGCUAAAGGCCUCCUUGAAUUCAGAGAUCUGAUCGUCAGUGAGCUGAUCGGCCAUUUGCUUAUUCUCUUGAGCUUUUUUUUCUUUUCU
Hibiscus syriacus is the source of this 160-nucleotide long non-coding RNA. RefSeq lists it as uncharacterized. The record is from RefSeq and is a predicted model, not a curated record. The transcript has 3 exons. NCBI's taxonomy places the organism in Eukaryota, Viridiplantae, Streptophyta, Magnoliopsida, Malvales, Malvaceae.